ACCGGCAGAAGGCAGCCUGAAGCUGGUAGCAGUAACCCACGAGUGCAGACUGCCUUGUGAGCCCUGUGAAAAACAGGGCAGACUGUUGCUGAGGAAUAAUUCUUCCUAGUGGGUCCGAGUCGGUGGCGGAGCAGCAACCGAAGGAUUCCGCGGGCGGCAAGAGGGAUGUGUGAGAAGCGCCGGAGCUCCCCCAGUUUCCCAUCCUGCCGGGGCGCCGGCUGUGCUCACCGGCACCUUCAGGAAGGCAACGUGAAGUCAGGCACCCCUUGCCUCGCAGCUGAGGGUCUCGAUGCGGAAAAUCAGUGAUAAGGAAGGAGAAGCGGAAUGAAGUGGGUUGGAAACCAAAGCAAAUCACGGAUUUCCCUGGGGAAGCAAGGCAGGGGGCUGGGGGAGAAGCGCACACGGCGGGUCGCGGCGAGUCUCCGGGGGGCAGGAUUUCUCUUCCAUCGCAUGGAAGAGCGAGAUUAAAGAAGAAAGUGGGAGUGGGGUGGGAGGGGAGGGAAGGGAAGGGGGGGUGUGGGGGGAUGAACAAAGGAGAUUGGCAGCACAGCUGUUUUGGGAAGAAAAAAAAAAAAAAAAAAAAAAAAAAAAAAAAAGGCCAGCCUUCCUGUUUCUUUAAAGCCGCUCAUCUGCGCGGCGGCCGGCUGCCGGCGGCGGGAGGCAGGCUGCGGGGAGCUGCGCGGAGCUGCGCGGAGCUGCGGCUCGGAGGACGGACGGACGGAGCCGGGCGCAGAUGGGCGGCAGCGGCAGCGGGGCGGCGGCAGCAGCAGCAGCAGCAGCAUCGGCAGCAUCGGCAGCAGCGCAGCAGCGGCGGAGCGGCCGCGGCUGAGCCUCGCCGCGCAGCGCCCCGCGCCAUGCGGAGCGCGCCGCUGGCCGAGGGCGAGCCCUGGCCGCGCCUCUGCCCCGCCGAGCUCGGGGGGCUGCGGCGGCUGCGGCGGAAGCACGGCGGCUGCAAAAGUUUCCGCGUGGAGCUCAAAGUGUUGAGCGGGCGGCGGACCGGGCUCCGCGCCCCCCCUGCCCCCGCUACCGCCGCCGCCGCUCCGCCGCCCGCCUGGGAGCCGCGCAGCGCCGCGCUCGGCCCCGCCGCCGCCGCCGGCGCCUUCCCCGCCGCCCCGCCGCCGCCGCCCGCCGCUUCCCCGCGCCCGCGGCCGGGCGAGGCGUCCGGCGUCUCGCCGGAGAUCAAAGCGCUGCAGCAGACGCGGCGGCUGCUGGCCAACGCCCGGGAGAGGACCCGCGUCCACACCAUCAGCGCCGCCUUCGAGGCGCUGCGCAAGCAGACUAGCAGACCUGGAUUACAGCGCUGACCACAGUAACAUGAGCUUCUCUGAAUGCGUGGAGCAGUGCACUAGGACCUUACAAGCAGAAGGAAGAUCUAAAAAAAGGAAGGAGUAAUAACCAGGAAGGGAGGAUUCAGAAGAGCUUCCAGCCAGAGUUACAUCUGGUCUUGGCAAAGAUUGCACGAUCCAGAUGAAGACUGAAAGCAGCUUUUUUGCAGAAACCCCUAUUGGAGAUGACGAUUGGCGAAGGAACUUUCUUAAUCUCUGGAACAGAAAGGAAAAAAGGAAAAGAAAAGGAAAAACGAAAGGACAGGGAUGCUUCUUAUUGUUGUUAAGCCAGCCACCUUUUCGUACGUGCAAUUUAUUUAGCACUUUUCCCUUUGCUUAACUGGGAAAUGUUACCCUCUCAGCUCAUGUGUACAGUAAUUUUUUGUUGUUGUUGUUGUUGUUGCUGUUGUGCCAAAGAUUUGAUGGAGCUUCUACACUGUGUCUUAUUUUUGCCUUAAUGUUAAAUCUUUGAGCCAAAGAAAAGUCAGAGGAGCCAUUCAGAUCGUGGCAAGCAGGCCAGCCAGCUGUCGGUGACAAAGCCCAAUUUCUGUACCCUUCUGUGAGUUACCUCUUAUUUCUUCAGCCUGCACUUCCCUGCCUGCAGCCCUGGAGCCAGCAUUUGGUGUGUGCAAGAGAUGGGACAGCACCAAACCAUGCUUUGGCGUUCAGAUUUGCUUCUUCCUUUGAGCUACUCUGUAGUUCUGCCUUUUGGGCAAUUUCCUGAUUUUCCUUCCUGUGUGACACGUCCACAGGGUAGAAAUACUGAAAUGAAGUGAGAGCUGAAACAGGAGCUAUGAUUUUUUUUUUUUUAAUAAAGAAAUAAAAUUAAGCAAAAGCAAAGUGCCAUGUAAAGCAAAAAGAGAGAGAGAGAGAGAGAGAAAAAAGAAAUCAUAAGAAAGUUCAGCCAGGCAGAAAGAAGUGAAGCAAAAUUCAGCCAGUGUUUCAGGUUUGUGAAGUCGUUUUUUCCAUGGGGUUUUUCAAGUGGUCAGAAACCCAUGUAAUGCAAAAGCAUUUGAAUCCUAUACUGUACCUUUCACUUCAAAUUGAAGUAAAAAAAAAAAAAAGAGAAGAGAUGGAGAAACAUUUGCUUGGAGUAAGCAGACUUUAUAGGUAAUGCAGUUCGUAUGCACGACAUCUGCUAAUGAUGGAGGGACAGAGCUCUGUGUUCAAGUAAAAAAAUAUGAGUUUCCAAACCAAGAAGAUUAACAUGUUUUGUUAAUCUCAAGGGGAAAUAUUACUUGUGAGGCCAGAUUCACAUCCUGGCACUCAGUGUGAAUCAGGUUCCCGUGUGUCUGACUUACUCCAGCGUGGGUCUGGCCAAGCACUGCCAGGCACCGGGGCAGGAGAGGGGAUGGGGCAGGCCAGAGUCACUGGGCAAGGGAGGGAAUAGUCUCUGUUUUACUGACGUGAAUACACAAAACUUGAACUCCUCAGUGCCUGCCUGUUUAUUUCCCAAGCUGAGCAAUUGGCUGGUGAGCCCCAAGCUGGGAGCUGCUGUGCAAAGCCUGAGUCUGGGGUGCCAGGCUGCUCAAUGCCAAGUCCCCUGGCUCCCAGUGAGCUCGAGAUGUCUUCUACCAGAUUUCUGGGGCACGUGGGACAGCUGUGUCCAAAACCCCUCCCAGGAGCUCAUUAUAUUGCUCCCCCCUCCACUCUCACCGCUGGUCAUUAUUAGCAGCCCAAUAAAAUACAUUUUUAGAUUGUCA
Non-coding RNA from Taeniopygia guttata (zebra finch), 3028 nucleotides. NCBI's taxonomy places the organism in Eukaryota, Metazoa, Chordata, Aves, Passeriformes, Estrildidae. The record is from RefSeq and is a predicted model, not a curated record.